Long non-coding RNA from Zingiber officinale, 805 nucleotides. RefSeq lists it as uncharacterized. The record is from RefSeq and is a predicted model, not a curated record. The transcript has 3 exons. Lineage: Eukaryota; Viridiplantae; Streptophyta; Magnoliopsida; Zingiberales; Zingiberaceae.
UAUUUAUAUAUAGAUACACACACACACAAAUGUGUCCCUAGGUUUUUAUGAGCCCUGGGCAGGUGCCCUGGUAGCCUUGGCCCAGGGUCGGCUCUGCCCUCACCCCUCUCUUUUUCGGGUUAGAAGAGGAGAGGGCAGCCACUCCGCCAUCCACAACCCUUCAUCGACAGCUUCCCCUUCUUCUCUUCAAGUUAGAAGUGAAGAAAUCCUUUACUUCAUCCGGGUAGCACUUCCUCCUUCCGGCGAUCCCGUAACUCUGGCUUCAUCAAAUCCGACCACAAAUAAUCCAUUCAACGUCCCGGGCAGCAACGCAUUUGAAAUGUUAAAAUAUAUUGUCGUAUAAGGCCACCUUUUGAAGAUGAAGGUUUUUCUAUAAUUGAGCUUCUAGAUGAAUUCACAGUUUAAGUAAACACCAAUGAUGAUUCUCUUGUCAAUCCUAAAAAGGAUUAUGAAUUUGAUCGAGUAUAUAUAUGGCCCUCAUGUUGGACAAGGGGAAUUGUUUUGCGAUGUUCACCUAUUUGUGCAGUCAGCUUGGAUAGAUAUAAUGUAUCUAUAUUUGCAUAUGGCCAAAGCGCCUCUUGGAAGAGACAAUGAUUUCCUCCAUUCGUUGGAUCCUCUUGAUGUCAUGUCAUUACUUCUCUCUUUUAGCUAUAUGUAUUAAAUAUGUUAUUGAAGGUUGGAGAAGACUUGUUAUUAAAAAUUGUAUAUAUUUUAGAAAUUGAAGAAGGUUUUGUGGUACAUUGUGGAGAAAAAUGUAAAUGAGAUAUAUUAAUAUUUUGAAAUGUAAUAUGAAUAUUAUAUGUUG